RNAcentral lists this unclassified non-coding RNA (434 nucleotides) under uncultured Russula. Its description in RNAcentral is "sequence contains ITS2". The stretch from base 1 to 154 matches the Rfam family "5.8S ribosomal RNA". The record is from RNAcentral. Lineage: Eukaryota; Fungi; Basidiomycota; Agaricomycetes; Russulales; Russulaceae.
AACUUUUAGCAACGGAUCACUUGGCUCUCGCAUCGAUGAAGAACGCAGCGAAAUGCGCUACGUAAUGUGAAUUGCAGAAUUCAGUGAAUCAUCGAAUCUUUGAACGCACCUUGCGCCCCUUGGAAUUCCGAGGGGCACACCCGUUUGAGUGUCGUGAACAUCCUUCAACCUUUCUUGGUUUCUUGACCGGGGAAGGCUUGGACUUUGGGGGUCUUUCAUUGCUGGCCUCUUUGAAGCCAGCUCCUCCUAAAUGGAUUAGUGUGGUCUGCUUUGCCGAUCCUUGACGUGAUAAGAUGUUUCUACGUCUUGGGUUUCGCACUGUCGCUUUAGACCCCGCUUCUAACCGUCUUGCAUUCAAGACAGAGUUUUUAAACCUUGACCUCAAAUCGGGUGAGACUACCCGCUGAACUUAAGCAUAUCAAUAAGCGGAGGCU